RNAcentral lists this ribosomal RNA (270 nucleotides) under uncultured archaeon. RNAcentral describes it as "partial 16S ribosomal RNA". It matches the Rfam family "Archaeal small subunit ribosomal RNA", at positions 477 to 747 of the family's 1478-position model. The record is from RNAcentral.
CUGCAGCCCGAGUGGUGAUCGAUUUUAUUGAGCCUAAAGCGUCCGUAGCCGGACUAGUAAACCCUUGGGUAAAUUGGGCAGCUUAACUGUCCGAAUUCCGAGGGGACUGCUAGUCUUGGGACCGGGAGAGGUCAGAGGUACUCCAGGGGUAGGGGCUAAAUCCUGUAAUCCUUGGGGGACCACCAGUGGCGAAGGCGUCUGACUAGAACGGAUCCGACGGUAAGGGACGAAACCCUGGGGCGCGAACCGGAUUAGAUACCCGAGUAGUCC